RNAcentral lists this ribosomal RNA (217 nucleotides) under Ruminococcus difficilis. RNAcentral's name for it is "Bacterial large subunit ribosomal RNA". It matches the Rfam family "Bacterial large subunit ribosomal RNA", at positions 1 to 216 of the family's 2925-position model. The record is from Rfam by way of RNAcentral. Lineage: Bacteria; Bacillati; Bacillota; Clostridia; Eubacteriales; Oscillospiraceae.
GGUCAAGCUACAAAGAGCACAAGGGGAAUGCCUUGGCACCGAGAGCCGAUGAAGGACGUGACUAACUGCGAUAAGCCACGGGGAGCUGUAAGUGAGCAUUAUAUCCGUGGAUUUCCGAAUGGAGCAAUCCGGCAAGAGGAAAGUCUUGUCAUCAUAUACUGAAUCAAUAGGUAUAUGAGGGGAACCGCCUGAACUGAAACAUCUAAGUAGGGCGAGG